AUUGAACGCUGGCGGCAUGCCUUACACAUGCAAGUCGAACGGCAGCACGGGAGCAAUCCUGGUUUCGAGUUGCCAACGGGUGAGUAAUACAUCGGAACGUGCCCAGCAGCUGUGGCUAGCCCGGCUACAGCCGGACUAAUACCGUAUCCGACCUACGGGUGAACGGGGGGGAUCACAAGACCUCGCGCUCUUGGACCUGCCGAUGUCAGAUUAGCUAGUUGGUGGGGUAAAGGCCUACCAAGGCGACGAUCCGUAGCUGGUCUGAGAGGGCGACCAGCCACACUGGAACUGAGACACGGCCCAGACUCCUACGGGAGGCAGCAGUGGGGAAUUUUGGACAAUGGGCGCAAGCCUGAUCCAGCCAUGCCGCGUGCGGGAAGAAGGCCUUCGGGUUGUAAACCGCUUUUGUCAGGGAAGAAACGCUGCGGGCUAAUACCACGGAGUAAUGACGGUACCUGAAGAAUAAGCACCGGCUAACUACGUG
This 484-nucleotide ribosomal RNA is filed under the name uncultured bacterium. RNAcentral's name for it is "partial 16S ribosomal RNA". It matches the Rfam family "Bacterial small subunit ribosomal RNA", at positions 30 to 507 of the family's 1533-position model. The record is from RNAcentral.